AGACCACAUGUUUACAUGUUAAGCCUUGCGGACGGGCGGGUCGGUUGCCGA
Molecule: small RNA, 51 nt
Rfam family: Streptococcus sRNA SpF59 (ldcC RNA)
Source: Rfam